RNAcentral lists this long non-coding RNA (1563 nucleotides) under Pan troglodytes (chimpanzee). RNAcentral's name for it is "long non-coding RNA NONPTRT011939". The record is from RNAcentral. Lineage: Eukaryota; Metazoa; Chordata; Mammalia; Primates; Hominidae.
GGGAGUUCGAGACCAGCCUGACCAACAUGGAGAAACCCCGUCUCUACUAAAAAUACAAAAUUAGCCUGGUGUGGUGGUGCACGCCUGUAAUUCCAGCUACUCAGUCGGCUGAGGCAGGAGAAUCGCUUGAACCUGGGAGGCAGAGGUUGCCGUGAGCCAAGAUCGCGCCAUUGCACUCCAGUUAAUGUGAAGUCCUUACUGGCUCACAAGGGCUCCCCCAGUCUGGCUCCCGUCUUCUCUUCCGUCCUGUUACAGAGCCUUGCACUGAUUCACCAAAUUCAUGGUACCCCACUUUCUUUCUACCCCUCCCCACCAGUACGACUAGCUUAUUGCCACGCAGGACCUCUGAGACUGCUGUCUCGUGUGCUUGGAGCCCACAUCCCUAUGAUAGUGAGCUUCAUGGUAUUUAUUGCUCAGUGGCUCCAAGUGAGCUGCGAGGCCCAGGGGACUGGAAGUGUAAUGAAUCCUUGCUUUAUGGAGGAUGGGUCUCAUCUUCAAGUCUGAAGACAGACUCCCUGCAGGCAAAGGGAGAUUUCUUGUCCCUUUACAGUAGUUCAUCUGCAUCUGUUUCCUUCCAUCUCUGCUUCUUAGUCCCAAAUGGUGAAAUCCCUGGAUAGCAAAGCUCCUGGUUCUCAACUUCAUUCAUGUAAAAAAUUCCUCAUAUAAGAAAGGUUCUUGGUGUCCAGAUUUCGGCAUGGCUAGCAGGACACUCUCUACUAAGUAUCAUGUGUCAGAGGCUUCAGUCCCAAGGAGGAAUUCAGGUACUUGGGAAUUCAAAUCUACAACCUGUUCUUCAAGCAUUUUGAUUUCCCUUUCAGUGUCACAUUGGAUUCAACCAGCUCAUUUUGGGGAGGAGAGAAAAGAUUCUUAAUAGCCAGGUUCCCCUUUAGGACUGGAAUCCAAGGAAGAAGGGAUUUGGGCCUCGAUGGAACCCUGUGCCAGUCUAAAUAGCAACAACAAAAAUAAUAUGAGAUGGUUUUCAAAAUAAAAGCUGAAUCUUUGAAAAGACUCUAUGUAUAUCAUAGACCUGCAUGACACAAUAUGGUAACACGACUAUUUACAUUCAAAUUAGUUAAAAUGCAACAAAAUGUUUAACUCAGUUUCUCAGUCACACUAGUCAUAUUUCAAGGAGCUCAACAGCCACACUGAGCUAGUGGCUAGUGCUACAGUAUUGGACAAUGCAGGUCUGUUCAUAUCAUACACUGUAGAUAAUAGAUUUCCAUUGUUGCAGAAAAUUCUGUUGACAUCUCCUCUGUAGUCUAAUCAUUGUCCAGGUUAAACAAGAAAAAGGAAGGAGAAAAGAUACAAAAUGCUUCCUUGGGAAGAAAAAUGGGGGCAUAACUAUAGAUACAAAGAGACUUUUUACGUUAAAAGAUAUUAUGAGUAACUUUGUGCCAAUAUAUUUAAAAAUUAGAUACAAUUUUCUGAAAAAAAUUCUAAACUUACUCAAAAUUAAAUAGAAAGCCAACCUAAAUAUAUCAGUAACCACUAAAAGGACUAAAUCAGUAGCUAAAAUAUGACCCCCACCCCCUUUCUUCAAAAAAAAAAAAAAAAAAAAGCACC